This 495-nucleotide ribosomal RNA is filed under the name uncultured organism. RNAcentral describes it as "bacterial SSU rRNA". It matches the Rfam family "Bacterial small subunit ribosomal RNA", at positions 28 to 507 of the family's 1533-position model. The record is from RNAcentral.
GACGAACGCUGGCGGCGUGCCUAAUACAUGCAAGUAGAACGCUGAAAUAAGAGCUUGCUCUUAUGGAUGAGUUGCGAACGGGUGAGUAACACGUGGGGAACCUACCUUCUAGCGGGGGAUAACACAUAGAAAUGUGUGCUAAUACCGCAUAAUAGUAUUUGAUGCAUAUCAGAUACUUGAAAGGCGCAAUUGCGUCACUAGAAGAUGGCCCCGCGGUGCAUUAGCUAGUUGGUGAGGUAACGGCUCACCAAGGCAAUGAUGCAUAGCCGACCUGAGAGGGUGAUCGGCCACACUGGGACUGAGACACGGCCCAGACUCCUACGGGAGGCAGCAGUAGGGAAUCUUCGGCAAUGGACGCAAGUCUGACCGAGCAACGCCGCGUGAGUGAAGAAGGUUUUCGGAUCGUAAAACUCUGUUGUAAGAGAAGAACGUUGAUGAGAGUGGAAAGUUCAUCAAGUGACGGUAUCUUACCAGAAAGCCACGGCUAACUACGUG